RNAcentral lists this ribosomal RNA (456 nucleotides) under uncultured bacterium. Its description in RNAcentral is "bacterial SSU rRNA". It matches the Rfam family "Bacterial small subunit ribosomal RNA", at positions 39 to 526 of the family's 1533-position model. The record is from RNAcentral.
UGCGUACUAUGAACAGCCGCCGCAGUAACACAUGCAAGUCGAACGAACCUUCGGGUUAGUGGCGGACGGGUGAGUAACGCGUGAGAAUCUGCCCUCAGGAGGGGGACAACAGCUGGAAACGGCUGCUAAUACCCCAUAUGCCGCGAGGUGAAAUGAAUUUCGCCUGAGGAUGAGCUCGCGUCUGAUUAGCUAGUUGGUGUAGGUAAUGGCUCACCAAGGCAUCGAUCAGUAGCUGGUCUGAGAGGAUGAUCAGCCACACUGGGACUGAGACACGGCCCAGACUCCUACGGGAGGCAGCAGUGGGGAAUUUUCCGCAAUGGGCGAAAGCCUGACGGAGCAACGCCGCGUGAGGGAUGAAGGCCUCUGGGCUGUAAACCUCUUUUAUCAAGGAAGAAGAUCUGACGGUACUUGAUGAAUAAGCCACGGCUAAUUCCGUGCCAGCAGCCGCAGUAAGAC